Non-coding RNA from Acanthosepion pharaonis, 97 nucleotides. NCBI's taxonomy places the organism in Eukaryota, Metazoa, Mollusca, Cephalopoda, Sepiida, Sepiidae. The record is from the annotation of a GenBank genome assembly.
UGAAACCCUGGUCCCCAUAUGAUCACUGAAGUUAAGCAACAUCGAGCCUGAUCAGUACUUAGAUGGGUAAUCGCUUGAGAAUACCAGGUUCUGUAUG